RNAcentral lists this microRNA precursor (64 nucleotides) under Pristionchus pacificus. Its description in RNAcentral is "microRNA ppc-mir-8232 precursor". Lineage: Eukaryota; Metazoa; Nematoda; Chromadorea; Rhabditida; Neodiplogasteridae. The record is from miRBase by way of RNAcentral.
UGUCAUUCUGUCCCGAGCGACCUGUGCCACCGCACAGCUUGGUCACCGGGAGCAGAGUGGCUAC